Gavialis gangeticus (Gharial) is the source of this 956-nucleotide long non-coding RNA. RefSeq lists it as uncharacterized. The transcript has 3 exons. The record is from RefSeq and is a predicted model, not a curated record. NCBI's taxonomy places the organism in Eukaryota, Metazoa, Chordata, Crocodylia, Gavialidae.
UGUUCCCACCCCGCUUGUAUGAGGGAGGCAGUGGCUGUAGAAAGGUAUUUUUUAGGACAGUAUACCCGCUAUGGAUCCCGAGUGAAUGGUAAAGUCUCCCUGCAGUUCUGACCUAACCCCAAAAGCCUGGACCCACUGGUCUCAGUCAUGGCCCUAACCACUGAGCAAGUCCACUCACAGGGAGCCAACAAACCAGGCUGGAAUAAUCUACCUGCUGUGUUGCCUAUUCUGCAGAGGAAGGGAAAAAUUCUGACAGAAAGAGAAAUGCCACUUUCCAAUACUCCAAAGUAUAGACAGAAAACACACCACCUGAUGCUAUCCACUGUGUUACUUAUCACUGUUUACUCUAUCCUGGUGUAUUACAUGAUGGUUCAACUAAGGUUGUGUUGAUACUGUUACCAUACUGGAUAUCAAUAGAUUGCAAUACUGAUAACAACUAGCACUGUGCAAGUUGUAUAAGGUUUUUUUUUUUCCCAUAAGCAAGUGGUCCAUUCCUCUGUACAGACAAUACAAAAAUUUUGUUGGCAGUGGGUAAUUUUGAAGCCAAGAAUGCCAAGCUCCAUUGAGGUCUUUCCAAGGCUUGAAAAACUACAGCAUCACUUAAUCUUGAGUUGUUUAAUGUCUCCUCUGGUAAUCACUGUCCCCUCCUGUUAUAAUACAGGUAGACUGCUGUGACUCUAUUAGCUGUUCUCUCUGGAAUUUCACUACAAGUGAUUGCUAGAACAAGGAGUGUAUAUUACAGAACUACAGCGAGAAGGGACAAGCUGCUAAAUGUGGCUUGUCAUGUCACUGAGACCUACCAGCUGAUCAGAAAUUAGUAGUAUUCUUAUUUCUUCUUUUUCAAGGCAAAGGCAAACUAGUUCAGCUCUAGUAUUUGUAUGGUCUGAGUUGUGGUGAAUAGAAUGCUUCUUUUUAAUUUUAAAAAAGUGAUUAUUAGAGGAUUAUUCUUGUAAUUC